This 468-nucleotide ribosomal RNA is filed under the name uncultured bacterium. Its description in RNAcentral is "partial 16S ribosomal RNA". It matches the Rfam family "Bacterial small subunit ribosomal RNA", at positions 28 to 507 of the family's 1533-position model. The record is from RNAcentral.
GACGAACGCUGGCGGCGUGCUUAACACAUGCAAGUCGAACGGUAAGGCCCUGCUUUUGUGGGGUGCUCGAGUGGCGAACGGGUGAGUAACACGUGAGUAAACUGUCCUCUCCUCUGGGAUAACUUCAGGAAACAGGGGCUCAUACCCGAUAGGAGCUCCUGCUGCCUGGUGGGGGUUGGAAAGUUUGGGUGGUUGGGGAUGGACUCGCGGCUUAUCCGCUUGUUGGUGGGGUAGUGGCGUACCAUGGCUUUGACGUGUAGCCGGCCUGAGAGGGUGACAGGCCACAUUGGGACUGAGAUACGGCCCAGACUGCUACGGGGGGCAGCAGUGAGGAAGAGAGCACAAGGGGCGGAAGCCUGAUGCAGCAACUCCGCGUGCUGGAUGACGGCCUUCGUGUUGUAAACCGCUAUCGCCUGUGACGAAGCGGUAGUGACGGUAAUGGGUAAAGAAGCACCGGCUAACUACGUG